CUGCUCAGAUUGAACGCUGGCGGCAGGCCUAACACAUGCAAGUCGAGCGGUAGCACAGAAGAGCUUGCUCUUUGGGUGACGAGCGGCGGACGGGUGAGUAAUGUCUGGGAAACUGCCUGAUGGAGGGGGAUAACUACUGGAAACGGUAGCUAAUACCGCAUAACCUCGCAAGAGCAAAGAGGGGGACCUUCGGGCCUCUCGCCAUCAGAUGUGCCCAGAUGGGAUUAGCUAGUAGGUGAGGUAAUGGCUCACCUAGGCGACGAUCCCUAGCUGGUCUGAGAGGAUGACCAGCCACACUGGAACUGAGACACGGUCCAGACUCCUACGGGAGGCAGCAGUGGGGAAUAUUGCACAAUGGGCGCAAGCCUGAUGCAGCCAUGCCGCGUGUGUGAAGAAGGCCUUCGGGUUGUAAAGCACUUUCAGCGGGGAGGAAGGCGGUAAGGUUAAUAACCUUAUCGAUUGACGUUACCCGCAGAAGAAGCACCGGCUAACUCCGUGCCAGCAGCCGCGGUAAUACGGAGGGUGCAAGCGUUAAUCGGAAUGACUGGGCGUAAAGCGCACGCAGGCGGUCUGUUAAGUUGGAUGUGAAAUCCCCGGGCUUAACCUGGGAACUGCAUUCAAAACUGACAGGCUAGAGUCUUGUAGAGGGGGGUAGAAUUCCAGGUGUAGCGGUGAAAUGCGUAGAGAUCUGGAGGAAUACCGGUGGCGAAGGCGGCCCCCUGGACAAAGACUGACGCUCAGGUGCGAAAGCGUGGGGAGCAAACAGGAUUAGAUACCCUGGUAGUCCACGCUGUAAACGAUGUCGAUUUGGAGGUUGUGCCCUUGAGGCGUGGCUUCCGGAGCUAACGCGUUAAAUCGACCGCCUGGGGAGUACGGCCGCAAGGUUAAAACUCAAAUGAAUUGACGGGGGCCCGCACAAGCGGUGGAGCAUGUGGUUUAAUUCGAUGCAACGCGAAGAACCUUACCUACUCUUGACAUCCAGAGAACUUAGCAGAGAUGCUUUGGUGCCUUCGGGAACUCUGAGACAGGUGCUGCAUGGCUGUCGUCAGCUCGUGUUGUGAAAUGUUGGGUUAAGUCCCGCAACGAGCGCAACCCUUAUCCUUUGUUGCCAGCGAUUCGGUCGGGAACUCAAAGGAGACUGCCGGUGAUAAACCGGAGGAAGGUGGGGAUGACGUCAAGUCAUCAUGGCCCUUACGAGUAGGGCUACACACGUGCUACAAUGGCGUAUACAAAGAGAAGCGACCUCGCGAGAGCAAGCGGACCUCAUAAAGUACGUCGUAGUCCGGAUUGGAGUCUGCAACUCGACUCCAUGAAGUCGGAAUCGCUAGUAAUCGUAGAUCAGAAUGCUACGGUGAAUACGUUCCCGGGCCUUGUACACACCGCCCGUCACACCAUGGGAGUGGGUUGCAAAAGAAGUAGGUAGCUUAACCUUCGGGAGGGCGCUUACCACUUUGUGAUUCAUGACUGGGGUGAAGUCGUAACAAGGUAACCGUAGGGGAACCUGCGGCUGGAUCCC
Molecule: ribosomal RNA, 1516 nt
Filed under: Pectobacterium brasiliense
Lineage: Bacteria; Pseudomonadati; Pseudomonadota; Gammaproteobacteria; Enterobacterales; Pectobacteriaceae
Description: bacterial SSU rRNA
Rfam family: Bacterial small subunit ribosomal RNA
Source: RNAcentral